AAUCAUCAGACGCAAAACGGUACGGGAUUGAUGCUGUAUUGCGGCCCAUUGUCAAUGAGAUCCAACAUUUAGAGCAAAUUGAAAUUUGGGGAAACACCCUCAACCAACACAAAAAUUGCCCUGGCUAAUUCCUUGAUCCAGACAUUUCCAUGUCUCAGGGAUUCCUCUGACACUGGCAGGAACUCAUGGUUUGCCAAGGGCAGGAAGGCCAUGCCAUCAACUGGCUUCUUGGAGGAAAGGCUGCGCAACAUACGGAAAAGGUGAAGGGCCACGAAUCGUCCUCAACAAGUAGGAGAGGACUCGGUCUCACAAUUACAAUCACGUCCUACUUCUAUUCCAGCCUCACCCAUACCCCAGGAGAGAGCGGAGGAGAUGACUGAAUGGCUGAGGCAUAACUCGGCGCCGAGCAAAC
Perca flavescens (yellow perch) is the source of this 412-nucleotide long non-coding RNA. RefSeq lists it as uncharacterized. The transcript is spliced from 4 exons. The record is from RefSeq and is a predicted model, not a curated record. NCBI's taxonomy places the organism in Eukaryota, Metazoa, Chordata, Actinopteri, Perciformes, Percidae.